CCUAAAUAUUCAGUCGAAUAUUAAAAUAUUCAGUAAUAAUGGAAAUCGGGCUGUUACAGUUGAGGAAGAAGAAAGGUGAAUUAUUAAUAGGUGUCGGCAAACAUGAUCAUUCUGGUUCGAUGCUUCACCUGAGGCAAGGUUAUUGGAAACAAAUGGGACACAUAUCUUGAUCUUCUCCACUCUGAAACCGAAGGCCCUCAUCAAUUUUAUCAUCGGUUCAACUGGGUUCAAGUUUGAUGAUGAAAGAGUUACAAAAUAUAAUACGAAGAGCGUGUAAAAGGAGCAGUAUGAUGGUGUGCAAGAGUUGCCACUCUUGAUAAACAAUGAGCUUAUAUCUUAUGAAAAUACUAGAAUUCGAGGAUCUGAAGUGGUAUGCAUUCUACACAUACAAGAUGAGCAGGUUACUUUAUCCCCAAGUUCAAGCGGAGUUAAUGAAAGCGAAUGUAGAUGGGGACCAAUCUAAUACAAUCACCAUUCAACAAGUCGGUAAAGUACAUAUUUGUUGACUCGCUUAAUUCUGCAUGCCUCAAUUACAGGCGGGGUCCAUUCAAUGCUUAUGGUUUUGCCACUUCAUGGUCAAGAGGUAGGAAUAUAAUGAUGUUCUCCUUUGUAAUUUAAAUCAGGUGUAAAUCAGUAGCAAAAGUUUCUUAGUGUUAUUAGGAAUGGUUAACAUUUUAUAUUAUAAGGUGGUCUUCGAUUUUAUUUAUUUUUAGAACAAUAGGAGAGUUAGAAAAUCUUUGAAGAUGAUGCAAAUGAGAAUAAUCAA
Long non-coding RNA from Helianthus annuus (common sunflower), 766 nucleotides. RefSeq lists it as uncharacterized. The record is from RefSeq and is a predicted model, not a curated record. NCBI's taxonomy places the organism in Eukaryota, Viridiplantae, Streptophyta, Magnoliopsida, Asterales, Asteraceae. The transcript has 5 exons.